Long non-coding RNA from Homo sapiens (human), 324 nucleotides. Ensembl annotates it as long intergenic non-protein coding RNA 378. NCBI's taxonomy places the organism in Eukaryota, Metazoa, Chordata, Mammalia, Primates, Hominidae. The record is from Ensembl.
AGGAUCUACAGUGACUACAAUAACCAAGUGCUACAAAAACGCUGUGACGAGGAAUCUGAACAACAGAGAUUUGAGGGAAACAAAACACUUUCGACGAAGGUCCUGCUGCUUGUCUUCAGCUUGGUACCAAUUAGAGCUUCACUGGAGGUGAAAAGGGCAGACACGGUUGCUGAGUGGCUGGUUGGAGAGUCCCUGAGAGAUUACCCAAGAAACUCAGUUGCGGCACGUGGUGGAGCAGCCUCUCAGAAAAUGGAGUUCUAAGUAUAGUAACAAUUUAGUUACAUAGUUACUUCCAUUUCCAGAGAUGUGAUCCUUUGCUGUGUA